AACCUGGUUGAUCCUGCCAGUAGUCAUAUCGCUCGUCUCAAAGAUUAAGCCAUGCAUGUCUACAGUAUAAAUCACUCUAUACUGCGAAACUGCGAACUGGCUCAUUAUAUCAGUUAUAGUUUAUUUGAUAGUCCCUUACUACAUGGAUAACCGUGAGUAAUUCUAGAGCUAAUACAUGCAUCCAUACCCAACUGUGUCGCGGACGUGGUAGUAUAUUAUUAUGAUAGAACACCACACCACUGCUUUCCGGAGUGCGCAUCAGAGUGUGUAUCACUGUAAUAUACAUCCCUGACAGCAAGUACUGCCACUUUGGGCCUUCCGUUCGCCCCGGCGGCAGCAAUGAGUAAAUUCUAUCUUCCAGAUGUUUCUUCGUAGGCCCUC
RNAcentral lists this ribosomal RNA (381 nucleotides) under uncultured marine eukaryote. Its description in RNAcentral is "bacterial SSU rRNA". It matches the Rfam family "Eukaryotic small subunit ribosomal RNA", at positions 1 to 280 of the family's 1831-position model. The record is from RNAcentral.